RNAcentral lists this ribosomal RNA (253 nucleotides) under uncultured bacterium. Its description in RNAcentral is "partial 16S ribosomal RNA". It matches the Rfam family "Bacterial small subunit ribosomal RNA", at positions 524 to 776 of the family's 1533-position model. The record is from RNAcentral.
UACGUAGGGGGCAAGCGUUGUCCGGAAUCAUUGGGCGUAAAGAGCGUGUAGGCGGCCCGAUAAGUCCGCCGUGAAAGUCCAGGGCUCAACCCUGGAAUGCCGGUGGAAACUGUCGGGCUGGAGUCCGGAAGAGGCGAGUGGAAUUCCUGGUGUAGCGGUGAAAUGCGCAGAUAUCAGGAGGAACACCAAUGGCGAAGGCAGCUCGCUGGGACGGUACUGACGCUGAGACGCGAAAGCGUGGCGAGCAAACAGG